CCUACGGGUGGCAGCAGUGAGGAAUAUUGGUCAAUGGACGAGAGUCUGAACCAGCCAAGUAGCGUGAAGGAUGACUGCCCUAUGGGUUGUAAACCUCUUUUAUAUGGGAAUAAAAUGUUCCACGUGUGGGAUUUUGUAUGUACCAUAUGAAUAAGGAUCGGCUAACUCCGUGCCAGCAGCCGCGGUAAUACGGAGGAUCCGAGCGUUAUCCGGAUUUAUUGGGUUUAAAGGGAGCGUAGGUGGAUUGUUAAGUCAGUUGUGAAAGUUGGCGGCUCAACCGUAAAAUUGCCGUUGAAACUGGCAGUCUUGAGUACAGUAGAGGUGUGCGGAAUGCGUGGUGUAGCGGUGAAAUGCUUAGAUAUCACGAAGAACUCAGAUUGCGAAGGCAGCUCACUGGACUGCAACUGACACUGAGGCUCGAAAGUGUGGGUAUCGAACAGGAUUAGAUACCCUUGUAGUC
RNAcentral lists this ribosomal RNA (460 nucleotides) under uncultured bacterium. RNAcentral describes it as "partial 16S ribosomal RNA". It matches the Rfam family "Bacterial small subunit ribosomal RNA", at positions 338 to 795 of the family's 1533-position model. The record is from RNAcentral.